UUAAGCUAAUUAUAUGAUUAGUUGGUUAGAGGUAGGCAAACACUUCAUCUAGGAAUGCCAACUGGCAUAUAUCUAUAUAUAUAAAAGAGAGACCAGUGUCUCCCAAAGGGUUAGAAACACGAGCACAUAAAGAGAAGUGAGAAAAUUUUGGUCUAGAGAUAAACUAGACCAAGAGGAAAGAAAGAACAAAACGGAAAAUCUGGUUUUUGAUUCCUACUUUCUUUUGACUUAAAUUUGAGGUAUUGAUGGUGAGGUUUGAUGGCCAACAACUUCAAGCUGUGUAUAAGGAGAGGACGGGGGAACAAGCUGGAUAAUUUCUCGGAACAAGCAAUCGUAAGGGCAGUAUAGGUGACUGAAUAUCCACAAAGCACAAAGUAAUUCAGAUGAUGAAACAUACAAUUGAUGACAAUUUAUAGGUAGA
Molecule: non-coding RNA, 421 nt
Organism: Camellia sinensis
Lineage: Eukaryota; Viridiplantae; Streptophyta; Magnoliopsida; Ericales; Theaceae
Source: RefSeq, a predicted model, not a curated record